CUGUGGGGGGUGGUGACUGGGGGAACUCUCAGAUGCCUCAGCACCCUCCCACCCCUUCCUCAGGCAGAACGAGAUCUUGUGGCGGGAGGUGGUGACACUUCGGCAGAGCCAUGGUCAGCAGCACCGGGUCAUUGGCAAGCUGAUCCAGUGUCUCUUUGGGCCACUUCAGGCGGGGCCGAGCAAUGCAGGAGGCAAGAGAAAGCUGUCCCUGAUGCUGGAUGAGGGGAGCUCAUGCCCAACACCUGCCAAGUUCAACACCUGCCCUCUGCCUGGUGCCCUUCUGCAGGACCCCUACUUCAUCCAGUCGGUAGGUUUGUCUUCUUCCCCCUUCCCAAGGGCAUGGCUGGGCUUAUGGAGAGCCUGUUCCUUCUCCCCAUCCCCUAAAAGGAAGAGAAGAUGGAAGCCAGCCUUCCCCCCAACCAGACCCAGGCCCUCCAGCAUGGACUGAGCCUCCUCCCUCAAACCUUCUCCCUUAGACCUGGCCCAGCCCUCACAGGGCCAGGGGCCCCAUCAUCUCUGACAUCCCA
RNAcentral lists this small RNA (527 nucleotides) under Pongo abelii (Sumatran orangutan). RNAcentral describes it as "retained intron". The record is from RNAcentral. Lineage: Eukaryota; Metazoa; Chordata; Mammalia; Primates; Hominidae.